Molecule: small RNA, 28 nt
Filed under: Bombyx mori (domestic silkworm)
Lineage: Eukaryota; Metazoa; Arthropoda; Insecta; Lepidoptera; Bombycidae
Description: ovarian small RNA-21902
Source: RNAcentral
UAGACAGUUUGCCACUUAACCUAACGUU